UACGUAGGGGGCGAGCGUUGUCCGGAAUUAUUGGGCGUAAAGGGUUCGCAGGCGGUCUGAUAAGUCAGAUGUGAAAGGCGUAGGCUCAACCUACGUAAGCAUUUGAAACUGUCAGACUUGAGUUAAGGAGAGGAAAGUGGAAUUCCUAGUGUAGCGGUGAAAUGCGUAGAUAUUAGGAGGAAUACCAGUGGCGAAGGCGACUUUCUGGACUUAUACUGACGCUGAGGAACGAAAGCGUGGGGAGC
RNAcentral lists this ribosomal RNA (245 nucleotides) under uncultured Tissierella sp. Its description in RNAcentral is "partial 16S ribosomal RNA". It matches the Rfam family "Bacterial small subunit ribosomal RNA", at positions 524 to 769 of the family's 1533-position model. The record is from RNAcentral. Lineage: Bacteria; Bacillati; Bacillota; Tissierellia; Tissierellales; Tissierellaceae.